RNAcentral lists this ribosomal RNA (590 nucleotides) under uncultured bacterium. RNAcentral's name for it is "partial 16S ribosomal RNA". It matches the Rfam family "Bacterial small subunit ribosomal RNA", at positions 355 to 941 of the family's 1533-position model. The record is from RNAcentral.
UGGGGAAUUUUGGACAAUGGGGGCAACCCUGAUCCAGCAAUGCCGCGUGUGUGAAGAAGGCCUUCGGGUUGUAAAGCACUUUUGUCCGGAAAGAAAACGCCGUGGUUAAUACCCGUGGCGGAUGACGGUACCGGAAGAAUAAGCACCGGCUAACUACGUGCCAGCAGCCGUGGUAAUACGUAGGGUGCAAGCGUUAAUCGGAAUUACUGGGCGUAAAGCGUGCGCAGGCGGUCCGCUAAGACAGAUGUGAAAUCCCCGGGCUUAACCUGGGAACUGCAUUUGUGACUGGCGGGCUAGAGUAUGGCAGAGGGGGGUAGAAUUCCACGUGUAGCAGUGAAAUGCGUAGAGAUGUGGAGGAAUACCGAUGGCGAAGGCAGCCCCCUGGGCCAAUACUGACGCUCAUGCACGAAAGCGUGGGGGAGCAAACAGGAUUAGAUACCCUGGUAGUCCACGCCCUAAACGAUGUCAACUAGUUGUCGGGUCUUCAUUGACUUGGUAACGUAGCUAACGCGUGAAGUUGACCGCCUGGGGAGUACGGUCGCAAGAUUAAAAACUCAAAAGGAAUUGACGGGGGUCAUAGCUGUUUCCUG